This 257-nucleotide long non-coding RNA is filed under the name Ananas comosus (pineapple). RNAcentral describes it as "long non-coding RNA (ACOM_LNC033653)". The record is from RNAcentral. Lineage: Eukaryota; Viridiplantae; Streptophyta; Magnoliopsida; Poales; Bromeliaceae.
UGAGGAGAUAGGGAUAGGAAUAGACUCUUAUCCCCCUUUAUACCCAAACACUAAUUUUUUAUCCGAAAAUAGUAGUUCUCGGUUAUCCCCACCAAUACUUCAUUUUCUAUAUAAAACUAUCUAAAAUUAUUCUUAUCUCCGGGAACAAUCCAAUUUUCAUUCAAACGCUAUUUUUCUUAUCUCCAUACUUGUACCUAUCCCUGUAAUAGCUAGUUCUUACUUAUACCCGAACCAAACGGUACCUUUGAUAUAUAUAU